UGCCAGCAGCCGCGGUAAUACGUAGGUGGCGAGCGUUAUUCGGAUUUAUUGGGCGUAAAGGGUCCGCAGGGGGUUGUACGUGUCUGAUGUGAAAUCUCAAGGCUCAACUUUGAAACUGCAUUGGAAACUGUACAACUAGAGUAUCGGAGAGGUAAGCAGAAUUCCUGGUGUAGCGGUGGAAUGCGUAGAUAUCAGGAGGAAUACCAACGGCGAAGGCAGCUUACUGGACGAUUACUGACCCUCAUGGACGAAAGCUGGGGGAGCGAACAGGAUUAGAUA
RNAcentral lists this ribosomal RNA (279 nucleotides) under uncultured bacterium. RNAcentral's name for it is "partial 16S ribosomal RNA". It matches the Rfam family "Bacterial small subunit ribosomal RNA", at positions 506 to 784 of the family's 1533-position model. The record is from RNAcentral.